UUAUUUGAAACGGGGCACAACCCCUGAUACCGGGUUUAUCUAGAUAUACUAAACAAAGUGGGCCUAAAAGCAGCCACCUUCCAAAGAGCGUUAAAGCUUAACGUACCAAUGUCUACAAUUCCAUAAUUUUUACUUAACCCUUCAUUACUACUGAACUAUUUUAUACUCUAUAAAAGCUAUUAUGCUAGAACUAGUAACAAGAAAUUGCCUUUCUCCUCAAUGUAUGUUUGAACCAAAAUGGACUCUCCACUGGUAACUAACGCAAAUGUAAAUAUCAUAGUACCACACGACUAGAAAAUCCUAUGUUUACCCAACGUCAACCUUACACUAGAACAUUACAGGAAAGAUUAAAAGAGAAAGAAGGAACUCGGCAAAUUACAGUCCCGCCUGUUUACCAAAAACAUCGCCUCUUGCCUAAACAUAAGAGGUCCAGCCUGCCCAGUGACAUAGUUUAACGGCCGCGGUACCCUAACCGUGCGAAGGUAGCAUAAUCACUUGUUCUUUAAAUAGGGACUCGUAUCAACGGCAUCACGAGGGCUGUACUGUCUCCUUUCUCCAAUCAGUGAAACUGAUUUCCCCGUGAAGAAGCGAGGAUAAACCU
RNAcentral lists this ribosomal RNA (601 nucleotides) under Amolops iriodes. RNAcentral's name for it is "partial 16S ribosomal RNA". The stretch from base 345 to 593 matches the Rfam family "Archaeal large subunit ribosomal RNA", at positions 1787 to 2143 of the family's 2987-position model. The record is from RNAcentral. Lineage: Eukaryota; Metazoa; Chordata; Amphibia; Anura; Ranidae.